Molecule: transfer RNA, 71 nt
Filed under: Culex quinquefasciatus (southern house mosquito)
Lineage: Eukaryota; Metazoa; Arthropoda; Insecta; Diptera; Culicidae
Rfam family: tRNA
About the family: Transfer RNA (tRNA) molecules are approximately 80 nucleotides in length. Their secondary structure includes four short double-helical elements and three loops (D, anti-codon, and T loops).
Source: Rfam by way of RNAcentral
GGACCCGUGGUGUAGGGGUAAGCGCGAUUGCCUCUCACCCAGUCGGCCUGGGUUCGAUCCCAGAGGGUCCC